RNAcentral lists this long non-coding RNA (1082 nucleotides) under Homo sapiens (human). Its description in RNAcentral is "HSALNT0002584". The record is from RNAcentral. Lineage: Eukaryota; Metazoa; Chordata; Mammalia; Primates; Hominidae.
GCAAUCUGUCGCGUCAGACUGCGCGCCGCCGUCAUGGGUCAAAAACGCGACGCGCGGAGCGGCCUUUGCUCUCACCGGGGUCGAGCCGCGGCGAGGGAACGGAUCGGAGACGCUGCGCCUGCUCAGAAGGUAGCGCAGCGGGGAAAGGCGGGAGAGCGUUAACUUCUGAGCCUGCGCGGUGGGAGUUGCUCAAGCAGGUGGUAGCGACUUGGCUUCCGGGCAGCGGGUAAAGGAAAUGCCUCAGGCCAGAAGAAGCAGUGGCAGCCUCUCACCUGCAGUGGGAUCUGUCUCAACUCCCAUUCCGUCUCCAGAGCCAAAGUUUGGAGGGAACGUGAGCUCGGGUCAGGACACACCAGGACAGCCUCAUCCACCACACCACAGGCUCCAGACAGGUGCUGCAGCCACGGAGUUGAAACCCUAACCUACAGAAAAGUCAUCGUUAACAGGAAGCUCGUGAAAGAUUUUUACAUUUCCCUCUCAGCCCAACAGCAAUAUUGCUGCCAGCAUCCCACUGGGGGUCCUAAGCUCAAAGGUUCUUCAUGGUUGGUUGUAUAGGAGUUCUUCCUGUCCCCUGAAACCCCACCCUCCAACCUCCUGAGAGCCUUCAAAGUUGGAAAAAAUAUCAGGAUUUUCUUUCUGGUCACUGGAAAAAUAUAUCCGAUAAUUUUAAAUACCUGGCACUUCAGAAUCAGCACUUCUUUACUAUAUUUGCCAUAUGUGGUGUCCUACUGUGAUUUCACAGCACUGUAAGAUACUUACAGGCAGAGACUAGAUCUAUGUAAUUUUUUAGCCACCCCAGAAGAUAACACAUGCAAAUAUGAGUACUUUAAAUAGAGGCCUAAUGGGAAGGCAGCUGGCAAGUGACCAGAAUGAGGGAGCAUAAGUAGCUUUUGCAUCUGCCCAGCCAAGUUCCCUGUUCCCCAGUACAAAGAAAUCUAUCAAGUCUCCCCCAACCCCACCUUAUUCACAGGCUCCUGUCACCCUCCUGUACCUGCUGAACAAUCUCUCCAUCUUCCACAUUAAACUUGACAAUGUUCACAUGGCUGAAGGGAACAACUCCGAGGGCCCACACCACCCCAGAG